GAGCCUUACACAACUCCAUUACUAAAUCAGUGAUGUGUGCUUGGAUAUGAACGUGUUAAAAGUGACUAGACCCAGUGUCCAUUUAACUCUUGUUCCAUUUUUUCCUGCCGUGUUUAAACCUUUCCAUAAAUCUAGAUUUCCUGGCUAAUGUAUCAUUGGUCUCCCAGCGGCUCCCCAGUGAGAAGGACAUGGAUGGGGUUGCACUGGGUCUUAUACGUCUACAGGACAUAUACAGACAACUGCAAAUCAUUACAGUGGAUGUGUCAGGACAGGUAAAUGUGACUCCCUUGGAUCCAGAUGACUCCUUCCACGUUGCCAUGGUGGCCCUGCAGAACCACAAGUUCCAGUAUGCCCUGCUCUGGCUCCAGGAGACCUUCAGGCAGCUGGAGGAUGGCAUCCCAGCCCUGGUGACCAGGAGAGAGGUUCUGACCUACCUGGGUCCCCUAGCCUUUCAGAUGGGUAACCUGCCUCUAGCAUUGGAGCUGACGCAACAGUUGCAGGAAAUGGGUAUGUGGCCUAUGUUACAUAAAGGAGCAGUUGUUUCUCUUAUGCACUGGUUUCAAAAACAAUACAGUGAUCGUUAA
Oncorhynchus kisutch (coho salmon) is the source of this 584-nucleotide long non-coding RNA. The record is from Ensembl. NCBI's taxonomy places the organism in Eukaryota, Metazoa, Chordata, Actinopteri, Salmoniformes, Salmonidae.